Molecule: ribosomal RNA, 585 nt
Filed under: uncultured bacterium
Lineage: Bacteria
Description: partial 16S ribosomal RNA
Rfam family: Bacterial small subunit ribosomal RNA
Source: RNAcentral
UGGGAAUAUUGGACAAUGGGCGAAAGCCUGAUCCAGCCAUGCCGCGUGUGUGAAGAAGGUCUUCGGAUUGUAAAGCACUUUAAGUUGGGAGGAAGGGCAUUUACCUAAUACGUAAGUGUUUUGACGUUACCGACAGAAUAAGCACCGGCUAACUCUGUGCCAGCAGCCGCGGUAAUACAGAGGGUGCAAGCGUUAAUCGGAAUUACUGGGCGUAAAGCGCGCGUAGGUGGUUUGUUAAGUUGGAUGUGAAAUCCCCGGGCUCAACCUGGGAACUGCAUUCAAAACUGACAAGCUAGAGUAUGGUAGAGGGUGGUGGAAUUUCCUGUGUAGCGGUGAAAUGCGUAGAUAUAGGAAGGAACACCAGUGGCGAAGGCGACCACCUGGACUGAUACUGACACUGAGGUGCGAAAGCGUGGGGAGCAAACGGAUUAGAUACCCUGGUAGUCCACGCCGUAAACGAUGUCAACUAGCCGUUGGGAGCCUUGAGCUCUUAGUGGCGCAGCUAACGCAUUAAGUUGACCGCCUGGGGAGUACGGCCGCAAGGUUAAAACUCAAAUGAAUUGACGGGGUCAUAGCUGUUUCCUG